UUUUGGGAAUCCCUGCUCUUGGGUGGGUCUAAGGAAUAGAUAAGAUGAGGUCCCGCUCACAGGUAUGGCCCCCACUCCACCUCUACUGCAGGACUAUGUAAAGAGGUUGCCUGAUAGAAGCAGCAAUGAAAGGAUUGUUUCUUCUAAAGUCCAGCAUGCAAUGAUUUAGUCAAUUCAAAAAGAAUGGGCCCAGGAAGAUACAGAGGUUCCUUAGUCUACAAGAAGGAAGCACUUUUCUUCAAAAUACCCAUAAUUUAACCAAAAUCUAACAACUGCCAUGAAAAGUCCAAUAAAUGGAAACAACAUUUUCCAAGUCCCGGAAGCUCAAACUCGUUCAUCAUAUCGUUCCACUUAUAGUAUGAUCCUGAGAAAAGCAACUAUAGCAUUUCUGCCAUUUCAACACCCCACCAGCCAAAGGUACUAUGUGAAGUUACGUGUACCUACAUGACGCUAUGUCCAGAUCAGCAAGCAGAAACUGAGUUCCAAAGCUGCAUUACUAUGCUAUGAAGAAAGAAAGUGCCUUGGCCACUGCCCUUCCCUUUCUAAUGUGUGAAUGCUUAGAAAAUACAAGGGGAUUUCUAAGGCUUUUAGCCUUGGCUGUGUCAA
Molecule: long non-coding RNA, 606 nt
Organism: Symphalangus syndactylus (siamang)
Lineage: Eukaryota; Metazoa; Chordata; Mammalia; Primates; Hylobatidae
Source: RefSeq, a predicted model, not a curated record